RNAcentral lists this ribosomal RNA (253 nucleotides) under uncultured bacterium. RNAcentral describes it as "partial 16S ribosomal RNA". It matches the Rfam family "Bacterial small subunit ribosomal RNA", at positions 524 to 776 of the family's 1533-position model. The record is from RNAcentral.
UACGGAGGGUGCGAGCGUUGUCCGGAAUCACUGGGCGUAAAGGGCGCGUAGGUGGCGCGAGUAGUCAACGGUGAAAGCCCGGGGCUCAACCCCGGGUCGGCCGUCGAUACUCUCGUGCUUGAGCACUGUAGAGGCAGGUGGAGUUCCGGGUGUAGCGGUGGAAUGCGUAGAGAUCCGGAAGAACACCGGUGGCGAAGGCGGCCUGCUGGGCAGUAGCUGACACUGAGGCGCGACAGCGUGGGGAGCAAACAGG